RNAcentral lists this non-coding RNA (23 nucleotides) under Cricetulus griseus (Chinese hamster). Lineage: Eukaryota; Metazoa; Chordata; Mammalia; Rodentia; Cricetidae. The record is from RNAcentral.
AGCCUGUGGGUACCGAGGCAUGC